RNAcentral lists this ribosomal RNA (492 nucleotides) under uncultured Entrophospora. RNAcentral describes it as "SSU rRNA". It matches the Rfam family "Eukaryotic small subunit ribosomal RNA", at positions 569 to 1059 of the family's 1831-position model. Lineage: Eukaryota; Fungi; Glomeromycota; Glomeromycetes; Entrophosporales; Entrophosporaceae. The record is from RNAcentral.
AGCAGCCGCGGUAAUUCCAGCUCCAAUAGCGUAUAUUAAAGUUGUUGCAGUUAAAAAGCUCGUAGUUGAAUUUCGGGAUUGGCGCAUCGGUCGUGCCUCACGGGGUAUGAACUGGUGCAGUCAAUUUCUCACCUUCUGGAGAACCGCGAUGUCCUUAAUUGGAUGCCGCGGGGAACCAGGACCUUUACUUUGAAAAAAUUAGAGUGUUUAAAGCAGGCAUUUUUGCUUGAAUACAUUAGCAUGGAAUAAUAAAAUAGGACGGCAUGGUUCUAUUUUGUUGGUUUCUAGGACCACCGUAAUGAUUAAUAGGGAUAGUUGGGGGCAUUAGUAUUCAAUUGUCAGAGGUGAAGUUCUUGGAUUUAUUGAAGACUAACUACUGCGAAAGCAUUUGCCAAGGAUGUUUUCAUUAAUCAAGACGAAAGUUAGGGGAUCGAAGACGAUCAGAUACCGUCGUAGUCUUAACCAUAAACUAUGCCGACUAGGGAUCGGACG